CCUCCUGGAAACGGGUGGUAAUGCCGGAUGCUCCGCCCCCUCGCAUGGGGGGUCGGGAAGGCUUUUGCGGAAUGGGAUGGGGUCGCGUCCUAUCAGCUUGUUGGCGGGGCGACGGCCCACCAAGGCUUCGACGGGUAGCCGGCCUGAGAGGGCGACCGGCCACAUUGGGACUGAGAUACGGCCCAGACUCCUACGGGAGGCAGCAGUGGGGAAUAUUGCACAAUGGGGGGAACCCUGAUGCAGCGACGCCGCGUGCGGGAUGGAGGCCUUCGGGUCGUGAACCGCUUUUGAUUGGGAGCAAGCGUGAGUGAGUGUACCUUUCGAAUAAGCACCGGCUAACUACGUGCCAGCAGCCGCGGUAAUACGUAGGGUGCAAGCGUUGUCCGGAAUCAUUGGGCGUAAAGGGCUCGUAGGCGGUUCGUCGCGUCCGGUGUGAAAGCCCAUCGCUUAACGGUGGGUCUGCGCCGGGUACGGGCGGGCUUGAGUGCGGCAGGGGAGGCUGGAAUUCCCGGUGUAACGGUGGAAUGUGUAGAUAUCGGGAAGAACACC
RNAcentral lists this ribosomal RNA (549 nucleotides) under uncultured Bifidobacterium sp. Its description in RNAcentral is "bacterial SSU rRNA". It matches the Rfam family "Bacterial small subunit ribosomal RNA", at positions 146 to 710 of the family's 1533-position model. Lineage: Bacteria; Bacillati; Actinomycetota; Actinomycetes; Bifidobacteriales; Bifidobacteriaceae. The record is from RNAcentral.